CAGCCUCAUCUGCCAAAUCCUCCGUUCUCUUUUUUCUUCUUUCCCUCUUUCCUCUUACACGCUGAACCGAGAAAGAAAGAAAACAGAGAAAUGGAAAUGGCGGUUAGCUUCCGUAACUCUUUUCUCAAAGCUCCUUCGAUUAACCCUAACCCUAAACUUCCAUUGCCGAAGCAACUUUUCGGUCUCAACUUGUCUUCGCUUUCCUCUUUCAACUCCAAAACAACAUGCCUCAAAUUUUGUUCUAGGAAUUUGACCAAGCCAGUCAAAUGCUCUGUUUCUCAGGCAACUCAACCUGCAACCGAGAAGAAGAGUCAGUUAAUGAGGAGAAGAGAUAUAAGGAACAUAGCAAUCGUAGCGCAUGUUGAUCAUGGGAAGACUACUUUGGUUGAUGCAAUGUUGAAGCAAUCUAAGGUUUUUCGUGAUAACCAAUUUGUACAAGAGAGGGUAAUGGACUCAAAUGAUCUUGAACGUGAAAGGGGUAUUACAAUUCUGAGCAAAAAUACAUCUAUCACUUACAAGGAUACAAAAAUUAAUAUAAUAGAUACUCCGGGGCACUCUGACUUUGGAGGUGAAGUUGAACGCAUCCUCAAUAUGGUCGAAGGGGUUCUUCUAGUGGUGGAUUCUGUUGAGGGUCCAAUGCCGCAAACAAGGUUUGUUUUGAAGAAGGCUCUAGAGUUUGGCCUUGCCGUUGUUGUUGUCGUCAAUAAAAUUGACAGACCGUCUGCUCGUCCAGAUUUUGUUAUCAAUUCCACAUUUGAACUAUUUAUCGAACUAAAUGCUACAGAUGAGCAGUGUGAUUUUCAAGCAAUAUAUGCCAGUGGUAUAAAAGGAAAGGCAGGACUAUCUCCUGACAAUUUGGCAGAAGAUCUCGGGCCUCUCUUUGAGUCUAUAAUCAGAUGCAUUCCUGGUCCACAUAUUGACAAAGAUGGUACACUACAAAUGCUUGCAACAAAUAUUGAAUAUGAUGAACAUAAAGGGCGGAUAGCUAUUGGGCGCUUGCAUGCUGGGGUCCUUCAGAAAGGACUGGAAGUAAGGGUAUGCACCUCAGAAGAUUCAUGUAGAUAUGCAAGAGUUUCUGAACUUUUUGUCUAUGAGAAAUUCAGUAGGAUCCCUGCUGAGAGAGUAGAAGCUGGUGAUAUUUGUGCUGUUUGUGGAAUUGAAGAUAUUCAGAUUGGAGAGACCAUUGCUGAUAAAACAUCUGGAAAGCCAUUACCUGCCAUUAAGGUGGAAGAACCAACUGUGAAAAUGGCUUUUUCUAUUAACACUUCACCAUUUGUUGGCCGUGAGGGAAAGUACGUUACUAGCAGGAACCUACGAGAUCGACUUUACCGUGAGCUUGAGCGAAAUUUAGCUAUGAGAGUUGAAGAUGGUGAAACUGCAGAUACAUUUAUUGUUAGUGGGCGUGGCACUCUACAUAUUACCAUACUGAUAGAAAACAUGCGGAGAGAAGGGUAUGAAUUUAUGGUGGGACCUCCCAAAGUUAUUAACAAGAAGGUUGACGACAAGUUGCUUGAACCAUACGAGACCGCAGCAGUGGAAGUACCUCAAGAACACAUGGGGGCUGUGGUUGAACUUCUUGGAAAAAGGCGUGGACAGAUGAUAGAUAUGCGAGAAGUUGGGUCUGAAGGUACAACAUUUUUGAAAUAUAAGAUCCCAACACGUGGCCUUCUUGGAUUGCGGAAUGCAAUCUUGACAGCUUCUCGUGGAACAGCUAUAUUGAACACCAUAUUUGAUAGUUAUGGACCUUGGGCUGGUGAAAUUAUUACCCGGGAUCAGGGUUCAUUGGUUGCCUUUGAGGAUGGAAGCAGUACUUCUUAUGCACUUGCCAGUUCACAGGAGAGGGGACAGAUGUUUAUUGGUCCUGGGAUGGAAGUUUAUAAAGGUCAAAUAGUUGGCAUCCAUCAGAGACCCGGGGACUUAUCCCUUAACGUUUGCAAGAAAAAGGCUGCAACAAAUAUACGCUCCAACAAAGAACAAACAGUGGUUCUUGAUACUCCAUUGGAUUAUAGUCUGGAUGACUGCAUUGAGUAUAUCCAAGAAGAUGAACUGGUGGAGGUAACUCCCUCAAGUAUUAGAAUGUGCAAAAAUCCAAAAUUUGCCGCCGCAAAGACGAGUCGGUAAAUCCAGCCUUAUCAGACAUUCUGGGUCCACAAACCAAGCUUCCCGACCAUGUGAAUCUAUACGAUCAAGCUGCUUAAUUCUGCAGUUCAAUUCACCAUAUUGCCAAAUUUUACACCAUUUUUGUGCUCUCUGUCUCUUUUGAGCAUAUGAAGCCCCCUUCUUCAGGCAAUUCUAGAAAAUAAAAUUGAAUGGCAAAGCUAUUUCAAGUUUUUCGUUUCUUUGAUAUAGCAGCUGUAUAUAAUGAUAUGGGAUGAAGUUAUUCAAGCAUAUUAUUGUUAAAUUGUACUGCUAAGAAUGGACGUAGGAAAAUUUUUGGUCUGAUUGUAAGACACAAAUGAGCCGCAUGCAUAAAUUGCCCGAGGUGAAGAGAGAUGAUGGGAGAUAAGAGUUUUGAUGCUUGAAUUUCUUCAGCCUGUCAUCAUCCUGACACACUGAAAAGUAAUUUUCUAAGGAUAUUAGAGAUGGGUCGUGGGAUUUACAUAUGUUAGUUGAAAUGCUGCUGGUUAUGUUCUUCAUGCUGCUUUGCUUCCAGUAAACUGAUAAUUAACCAAUUGCGACACAUUUUGCUGAUGAGAUUUCAUCGAUGACCAGACAUGCUGUUGGUUUACAAGUCAGAGGGGUUUCCAAUUGACGAGUCAACACAAACUCAUUCCAUAGAUGUAUCUGUUCUCCUCAUUCCUCAAAGAACAAUCUUAUUACUUGUCAGGAUGUUUCAGCUUCAAUCAUUCAAGCGAGACGUACAUUAUCCAGAAACAUUUGCUGCACAAGAAAUGAUAGACUUUUAGACUAAAGCCACCAACAACAAACUAUGGCAGCUGCUGGACUACUGGUUUUGGACCAAAUCCAAUGGUGGUGGCUCCUAACGAAAAACUUUCCAUUACCAAGUCAAUUGGAAAGGCGUAGGCCGCCUCCGAAUGAACCCACCCCUACUACGCAGGUCAGCAUCUAGAUGCAUUAUCACACCUCACGACUGAACU
Molecule: non-coding RNA, 3098 nt
Organism: Theobroma umbraticum
Lineage: Eukaryota; Viridiplantae; Streptophyta; Magnoliopsida; Malvales; Malvaceae
Source: RefSeq, a predicted model, not a curated record